Molecule: ribosomal RNA, 253 nt
Filed under: uncultured bacterium
Lineage: Bacteria
Description: partial 16S ribosomal RNA
Rfam family: Bacterial small subunit ribosomal RNA
Source: RNAcentral
UACGAAGGGUGCUAGCGUUGUUCGGAAUUACUGGGCGUAAAGCGUGCGUAGGUGGUUUACUAAGUCAGGUGUGAAAUCCCCGGGCUCAACCUGGGAACUGCGCUUGAUACUGGUAAACUAGAGUUUAGUAGAGGGAAGUGGAAUUCCACGUGUAGCGGUGAAAUGCGUAGAUAUGUGGAGGAGCACCAGUGGCGAAGGCGGCUUCCUGGACUAAAACUGACACUGAGGCACGAGAGCGUGGGUAGCAAGCAGG